ACACGGGGGGCGCAAGCGUUAUUCGGAAUUAUUGGGCGUAAAGGGCGCGUAGGCGGUCUUGUCGGUCAGAUGUGAAAGCCCAGGGCUCAACCCUGGACGUGCAUUUGAAACAGCAAGACUUGAGUACGGGAGAGGAAAGCGGAAUUCCUGGUGUAGAGGUGAAAUUCGUAGAUAUCAGGAGGAACACCGAUGGCGAAGGCAGCUUUCUGGACCGAUACUGACGCUGAGGCGCGAAGGCGUGGGUAGCGAACAGGAUUAGAAACCCCGGUAGUCC
RNAcentral lists this ribosomal RNA (274 nucleotides) under uncultured bacterium. RNAcentral describes it as "partial 16S ribosomal RNA". It matches the Rfam family "Bacterial small subunit ribosomal RNA", at positions 523 to 796 of the family's 1533-position model. The record is from RNAcentral.